CAUGAAGCUGGAAUCGCUAGUAAUCGCGAAUCAGAAUGUCGCGGUGAAUACGUUCCCGGGUCUUGUACACACCGCCCGUCACACCAUGGGAGUCGGAAAUGCCCGAAGUCAGUGACCCAACCGCAAGGAGGGAGCUGCCGAAGGUGGAGCCGGUAACUGGGGUGAAGUCGUAACAAGGUAGC
RNAcentral lists this ribosomal RNA (182 nucleotides) under uncultured bacterium. Its description in RNAcentral is "partial 16S ribosomal RNA". It matches the Rfam family "Bacterial small subunit ribosomal RNA", at positions 1319 to 1500 of the family's 1533-position model. The record is from RNAcentral.